AUGAACGCUGGCGGCGUGGAUAAGGCAUGCAAGUCGAGGGGCCCGCAAGGGCACCGGCGAACGAGGUAGUAAUACGUAGGUACGCACCCGGAAGUUGGGCACAGCUCGCCGAAAGGCGGGGUAAUUCCCAAUGUGAUGGCAACAUCAAAGGAGCAAUUCGCUUCCGGAGCGGCCUGCGGGCUAUCAGCUUGUUGGUAGGGUAAUGGCCUACCAAGGCAAUGACGGCUAUGGGCAGUGAGAGCUGGACCCCCACCGAUGGUACUGAGACACGGACCAUACACCUACGGGUGGCUGCAGUCGAGAAUCUUCCGCAAUGGGCGAAAGCCUGACGGAGCGACGCCGCGUGAUUGAUGAAGUCCCUUUGGGACGUAAAGAUCUUUUGUGGGCUACUAAAUUAUUGAAGAGCCCAAGAAUAAGGGGUUGCUAAACUCGU
This 433-nucleotide ribosomal RNA is filed under the name uncultured bacterium. RNAcentral's name for it is "partial 16S ribosomal RNA". It matches the Rfam family "Bacterial small subunit ribosomal RNA", at positions 29 to 506 of the family's 1533-position model. The record is from RNAcentral.